AGCAGUAGCCGCGGGAAUACGAAGGGGGCUAGCGUUGUUCGGAUUUACUGGGCGUAAAGCGCACGUAGGCGGAAUUUUAAGUCAGGGGUGAAAUCCCGGGGCUCAACCCCGGAACUGCCUUUGAUACUGGAAGUCUUGAGUAUGGUAGAGGUGAGUGGAAUUCCGAGUGUAGAGGUGAAAUUCGUAGAUAUUCGGAGGAACACCAGUGGCGAAGGCGGCUCACUGGACCAUUACUGACGCUGAGGUGCGAAAGCGUGGGGAGCAAACAGGAUUAGAUACCCCUGUAGUCCCUGUCUCUUAUAC
Molecule: ribosomal RNA, 303 nt
Filed under: uncultured bacterium
Lineage: Bacteria
Description: partial 16S ribosomal RNA
Rfam family: Bacterial small subunit ribosomal RNA
Source: RNAcentral